This 793-nucleotide ribosomal RNA is filed under the name uncultured archaeon. RNAcentral describes it as "bacterial SSU rRNA". It matches the Rfam family "Archaeal small subunit ribosomal RNA", at positions 85 to 879 of the family's 1478-position model. The record is from RNAcentral.
ACUGCUCAGUAACACGUAGUUAACCUAACCUAUGGACGGGGAUAACCUCGGGAAACUGAGAAUAAUCCCCGAUAGACCACUAUGCCUGGAAUGGUUUGUGGUUGAAAUGAUUUAUCGCCGUAGGAUGGGACUGCGGCCUAUCAGCUAGUUGGUGAGGUAAUGGCCCACCAAGGCUAUAACAGGUACGGGCUCUGAGAGGAGGGGCCCGGAGAUGGGUACUGAGACACGGACCCAGGCCCUAUGGGGCGCAGCAGGCGAGAAACCUUUGCAAUGUGCGAAAGCACAACAAGGUUAAUCCGAGUGUCUUCUGCUAAAGAAGUCUUUUGUUAGUCAUAGAACCACUGAUGAAUAAGGGGUGGGCAAGUUCUGGUGUCAGCCGCCGCGGUAAAACCAGCACCUCGAGUGGUCAGGAGGUUUAUUGGGCCUAAAGCAUCCGUAGCCGGUUGUUUAAGUUUUCGGUUAAAUCCAUGCGCUUAACGUAUGGGCUGCCGAAAAUACUGGACAGCUAGGGAGUGGGAGAGGUACACGGUACUCAAUAGGAAGGGGUAAAAUCCUUUGAUCUGUUGAUGACCACCUGUGGCGAAGGCGGUGUACCAGAACACGUUCGACGGUGAGGGAUGAAAGCUGGGGGAGCAAACCGGAUUAGAUACCCGGGUAGUCCCAGCUGUAAACGAUGCAAACUCGGUGAUGCAUUGGCUUGUGGCCAAUGCAGUGCCGCAGGGAAGCCGUUAAGUUUGCCGCCUGGGAAGUACGUACGCAAGUAUGAAACUUAAAGGAAUUGGCGGGGGAGCAC